CUGAAACCGUGUACGUACAAGCAGUGGGAGCACGCUUAGGCGUGUGACUGCGUACCUUUUGUAUAAUGGGUCAGCGACUUAUAUUCUGUAGCAAGGUUAACCGAAUAGGGGAGCCGAAGGGAAACCGAGUCUUAACUGGGCGUUAAGUUGCAGGGUAUAGACCCGAAACCCGGUGAUCUAGCCAUGGGCAGGUUGAAGGUUGGGUAACACUAACUGGAGGACCGAACCGACUAAUGUUGAAAAAUUAGCGGAUGACUUGUGGCUGGGGGUGAAAGGCCAAUCAAACCGGGAGAUAGCUGGUUCUCCCCGAAAGCUAUUUAGGUAGCGCCUCGUGAAUUCAUCUCCGGGGGUAGAGCACUGUUUCGGCAAGGGGGUCAUCCCGACUUACCAACCCGAUGCAAACUGCGAAUACCGGAGAAUGUUAUCACGGGAGACACACGGCGGGUGCUAACGUCCGUCGUGAAGAGGGAAACAACCCAGACCGCCAGCUAAGGUCCCAAAGUCAUGGUUAAGUGGGAAACGAUGUGGGAAGGCCCAGACAGCCAGGAUGUUGGCUUAGAAGCAGCCAUCAUUUAAAGAAAGCGUAAUAGCUCACUGGUCGAGUCGGCCUGCGCGGAAGAUGUAACG
This 627-nucleotide ribosomal RNA is filed under the name Escherichia coli. RNAcentral describes it as "partial 23S ribosomal RNA". It matches the Rfam family "Bacterial large subunit ribosomal RNA", at positions 550 to 1177 of the family's 2925-position model. The record is from RNAcentral. Lineage: Bacteria; Pseudomonadati; Pseudomonadota; Gammaproteobacteria; Enterobacterales; Enterobacteriaceae.